GAUGAAGAACGUAGCGAAAUGCGAUAAGUAAUGUGAAUUGCAGAAUUCAGUGAAUCAUCGAAUCUUUGAACGCACAUUGCGCCCGUCAGUAUUCUGGCGGGCAUGUCUGUUCGAGCGUCAUUACGCCCCUCAAGUCCCCUGUGGACUUGGCGUUGGGGAUCGGCGAGGCUGGUUUUCCAGCACAGCCGUCCCUUAAAUUAAUUGGCGGUCUCGCCGUGGCCCUCCUCUGCGCAGUAGUAAAACACUCGCAACAGGAGCCCGGCGCGGUCCACUGCCGUAAAACCCCCCAACUUUUUAUAGUUGACCUCGAAUCAGGUAGGACUACCCGCUGAACUUAAGCAUAUCAAUAAGCGGAGGA
Molecule: unclassified non-coding RNA, 358 nt
Filed under: soil metagenome
Description: partial contains 5.8S ribosomal RNA, internal transcribed spacer 2, and large subunit ribosomal RNA
Rfam family: 5.8S ribosomal RNA (bases 1-120)
Source: RNAcentral